This is a long non-coding RNA of Magallana angulata, 18662 nucleotides long. RefSeq lists it as uncharacterized. The transcript has 2 exons. Lineage: Eukaryota; Metazoa; Mollusca; Bivalvia; Ostreida; Ostreidae. The record is from RefSeq and is a predicted model, not a curated record.
UUCCUGUGGAGUGUGCAGUCUGUUUACAUACAAAUGGAAAACACGUGGUUUUGAGGGUAGACCUGUUUGGAGCUAGAUAUUUUGAGAAAAUGCAGUAUCGCUUGCCCCUUUUAUGGUGUUAGCUGAUGAGAUAGGUAACAAAUAACAUUUCCUCCGAAUAUUUUGUCAUGAAAAAUACAAACUGAUUUUUAAGAAUUUUUUCCCCUCUAUAGUGUUAUAUAGUGAAAACAAUUACCGGUGUGAUACCUUGAAGGGCUGUGUGUCAAAUUGAAAAAAUGCAUGCAGGUGCCAGUUUUCAGUAUUUUAUGUCAAAUCUUGUUAACAGAAAUUAGUUUCUGUAGUCUGAAGAUAGAAAAAUGCUUUUAAAAUUUUGUAAUGAAAAAAAUAUGAAAAAUGAUGAUUUUUGGUGUGGAAAACAUGUGAUUUUUAAUAUAUAAUAAUAAAAACCUUUAAAAAUGGAUGAUAUGAAGUCACUGGAGCUUAGAAUAUUGGUUUCUGUGUUCUAGAUGCUGUAAAAGUGUGCAGAUCAGUUGUCGCAGUCAUAUUUGAUGCCCUCAGACUUUGUCGUAAGAGCACGCAGUGACUAGUUUUUCAUCGAAUGACCAAUUUUGAGUUUACGUGCAAGUCUCAGAAUUAAGCGACAAGUGCGAAACAUUGCGAAGAAGAACAUGAACAGUCUAUCGAAGGAUUAUUUUGACAAAAACUUUAAUUUCUUUGAUUUCUGCUCACCUUAUGUGAGAUUUAAUUUCAUUUCCUACAUAGUCCUGAUUCAAGGAAUUUAGGGAUUUGGGCAAAUAUGUGCUAUGUUUAUGUUUAUUUUACACUGAAUUACCCAUUUGUAAUAGUUUAAGGCAAAAAACAUGCUUUAACACCAUUUACAAGAUCACACAGAUGCAUAUUUUGUGUAGAAAAGAGGUUUCAUGCAUUUAGUUGAGAAGGUCAUUAUGAGUCAAGUAUAUAUAAUAUCAUCAUGAUAUAAUCUUGGAGCUUUUCAUGGUUUUCAUCCUUAAAAACUGAUGAAUUUCAGUUUACCAGAAAAUGUUUUUAUGCAUUAUAGCCCAAAAAUCAGUUUCUUCCCACAUUUUAAGGGGAGUUCCUUAUUUACAAAAUACAAAUACUGAUAUUUAUGUUUGAAUGACCUAAGAUAUUGAAACAUUAGUCAUUGUUAAAAUGUUUAGAAGGAGAUAUUACUAUUUUUUAUAUGGUAACCUCAGCACACCUGUCCUAUUCUAAGUAAUGAAAAUCAAAAUUUGAAUGAAAUCAUAUCAUGUAACAUGUAUGGGUACAAUAUAGAUGCCCCACCCUUAUCCACAACUAUGGGGGUUUGUAUGAUUCUUUUUUUAGUAUUGUGAUAUGGCAUGCACUUAUGUGAUUUCUCUUGUAAAUAUGCAUCAGAAAUGCAUUGCCUUAUUGAAUUACUGCAUGUAUAUGCUUAUUGCUCUUGCUGUAAAUUAUCUAACAUGUGUCAAUCAUCAUUGAUCAGUAAUUCUCUUCAAAUUCUAUAGGGAUGGCCUGAUGAGGGGUAUAAUUAAGUGUGUCCAAUUGAAAUUUCAUGGCUACUUUUGCUCUACAGAUAGAAUGUUACAUAAAUCACAGAAUGAAGUUGCAUCCCAGUUGUUUCUUUUACAUUUCUUAUCAUCAAAGCAAGAUUUAUGGUUGUCAGAGCAGAUCUGAGCUCCAUUACAUGCUGAUAUCAUUUGGGCUGUCCUGUGUUACCAUGCUGCUUUUAGAUAAAAGUGAGUAUGGCAGUGUGUAGACAAGUAAACAGGCUUUACCUGAUAUAUAAAUUUACCAGAUACAGAUUUCAUUUUUGACCUGAUAAUUCACAAUAUAGUUAUGAAAUGUGUGAACAAUAGGGGUAAAUUUCUUCUUUGUUAUGCAAUGAUUGCAUAAUGAAGUGACUCUAAUGGAAUAUUUUUAUUUUGAUGUAAAGAAAAAUGUAUAUGCUCUGAUUUGGUACCAAGAUGAUUUUGUAUCUUGUUGUUUUAAGGAUGAAAAUUGGCUUCAGGUCAUGCAUGGUGUGAGGCUCCAAAUGUGUUUCAUCUGUGCUAUUUUCUUCAGUCUGAGUAAGGGAGAUAAAUCCUCAAUAGCUAAUGAAAUAUUGGGAGCUUGGGGACAGGGUUUUAGGGAUUUGGUGACAGUUGAUUGGGAAUUCUCAGGUGCAAAUUUGAAAGGGAUCUGACAUCUUUAGAGUCUCUUCAAGGUAUCACACCGGUAAUCGGCCAAUCAAAAUGAACUUAGUCAAUUGUAGUUCCAUAUAUACUUCAGAAUUAUUUUUUUCCUUGACUGCAUUUUUACAUUUUCCUUUACUCAGUUUUAAAAUUUUUUGUACCACUGAGUAGGAUAUUUCAUGUAUUUUGUUAGGUGAUGAUUUUUUUUCACAGGGACUACUUCUUUCAGGGCUCAUGCAGCAGCUUCCUGUGGAGUGUGCAGUCUGUUUACAUACAAAUGGAAAACACGUGGUUUUGAGGGUAGACCUGUUUGGAGCUAGAUAUUUUGAGAAAAUGCAGUAUCGCUUGCCCCUUUUAUGGUGUUAGCUGAUGAGAUAGGUAACAAAUAACAUUUCCUCCGAAUAUUUUGUCAUGAAAAAUACAAACUGAUUUUUAAGAAUUUUUUCCCCUCUAUAGUGUUAUAUAGUGAAAACAAUUACCGGUGUGAUACCUUGAAGGGCUGUGUGUCAAAUUGAAAAAAUGCAUGCAGGUGCCAGUUUUCAGUAUUUUAUGUCAAAUCUUGUUAACAGAAAUUAGUUUCUGUAGUCUGAAGAUAGAAAAAUGCUUUUAAAAUUUUGUAAUGAAAAAAAUAUGAAAAAUGAUGAUUUUUGGUGUGGAAAACAUGUGAUUUUUAAUAUAUAAUAAUAAAAACCUUUAAAAAUGGAUGAUAUGAAGUCACUGGAGCUUAGAAUAUUGGUUUCUGUGUUCUAGAUGCUGUAAAAGUGUGCAGAUCAGUUGUCGCAGUCAUAUUUGAUGCCCUCAGACUUUGUCGUAAGAGCACGCAGUGACUAGUUUUUCAUCGAAUGACCAAUUUUGAGUUUACGUGCAAGUCUCAGAAUUAAGCGACAAGUGCGAAACAUUGCGAAGAAGAACAUGAACAGUCUAUCGAAGGAUUAUUUUGACAAAAACUUUAAUUUCUUUGAUUUCUGCUCACCUUAUGUGAGAUUUAAUUUCAUUUCCUACAUAGUCCUGAUUCAAGGAAUUUAGGGAUUUGGGCAAAUAUGUGCUAUGUUUAUGUUUAUUUUACACUGAAUUACCCAUUUGUAAUAGUUUAAGGCAAAAAACAUGCUUUAACACCAUUUACAAGAUCACACAGAUGCAUAUUUUGUGUAGAAAAGAGGUUUCAUGCAUUUAGUUGAGAAGGUCAUUAUGAGUCAAGUAUAUAUAAUAUCAUCAUGAUAUAAUCUUGGAGCUUUUCAUGGUUUUCAUCCUUAAAAACUGAUGAAUUUCAGUUUACCAGAAAAUGUUUUUAUGCAUUAUAGCCCAAAAAUCAGUUUCUUCCCACAUUUUAAGGGGAGUUCCUUAUUUACAAAAUACAAAUACUGAUAUUUAUGUUUGAAUGACCUAAGAUAUUGAAACAUUAGUCAUUGUUAAAAUGUUUAGAAGGAGAUAUUACUAUUUUUUAUAUGGUAACCUCAGCACACCUGUCCUAUUCUAAGUAAUGAAAAUCAAAAUUUGAAUGAAAUCAUAUCAUGUAACAUGUAUGGGUACAAUAUAGAUGCCCCACCCUUAUCCACAACUAUGGGGGUUUGUAUGAUUCUUUUUUUAGUAUUGUGAUAUGGCAUGCACUUAUGUGAUUUCUCUUGUAAAUAUGCAUCAGAAAUGCAUUGCCUUAUUGAAUUACUGCAUGUAUAUGCUUAUUGCUCUUGCUGUAAAUUAUCUAACAUGUGUCAAUCAUCAUUGAUCAGUAAUUCUCUUCAAAUUCUAUAGGGAUGGCCUGAUGAGGGGUAUAAUUAAGUGUGUCCAAUUGAAAUUUCAUGGCUACUUUUGCUCUACAGAUAGAAUGUUACAUAAAUCACAGAAUGAAGUUGCAUCCCAGUUGUUUCUUUUACAUUUCUUAUCAUCAAAGCAAGAUUUAUGGUUGUCAGAGCAGAUCUGAGCUCCAUUACAUGCUGAUAUCAUUUGGGCUGUCCUGUGUUACCAUGCUGCUUUUAGAUAAAAGUGAGUAUGGCAGUGUGUAGACAAGUAAACAGGCUUUACCUGAUAUAUAAAUUUACCAGAUACAGAUUUCAUUUUUGACCUGAUAAUUCACAAUAUAGUUAUGAAAUGUGUGAACAAUAGGGGUAAAUUUCUUCUUUGUUAUGCAAUGAUUGCAUAAUGAAGUGACUCUAAUGGAAUAUUUUUAUUUUGAUGUAAAGAAAAAUGUAUAUGCUCUGAUUUGGUACCAAGAUGAUUUUGUAUCUUGUUGUUUUAAGGAUGAAAAUUGGCUUCAGGUCAUGCAUGGUGUGAGGCUCCAAAUGUGUUUCAUCUGUGCUAUUUUCUUCAGUCUGAGUAAGGGAGAUAAAUCCUCAAUAGCUAAUGAAAUAUUGGGAGCUUGGGGACAGGGUUUUAGGGAUUUGGUGACAGUUGAUUGGGAAUUCUCAGGUGCAAAUUUGAAAGGGAUCUGACAUCUUUAGAGUCUCUUCAAGGUAUCACACCGGUAAUCGGCCAAUCAAAAUGAACUUAGUCAAUUGUAGUUCCAUAUAUACUUCAGAAUUAUUUUUUUCCUUGACUGCAUUUUUACAUUUUCCUUUACUCAGUUUUAAAAUUUUUUGUACCACUGAGUAGGAUAUUUCAUGUAUUUUGUUAGGUGAUGAUUUUUUUUCACAGGGACUACUUCUUUCAGGGCUCAUGCAGCAGCUUCCUGUGGAGUGUGCAGUCUGUUUACAUACAAAUGGAAAACACGUGGUUUUGAGGGUAGACCUGUUUGGAGCUAGAUAUUUUGAGAAAAUGCAGUAUCGCUUGCCCCUUUUAUGGUGUUAGCUGAUGAGAUAGGUAACAAAUAACAUUUCCUCCGAAUAUUUUGUCAUGAAAAAUACAAACUGAUUUUUAAGAAUUUUUUCCCCUCUAUAGUGUUAUAUAGUGAAAACAAUUACCGGUGUGAUACCUUGAAGGGCUGUGUGUCAAAUUGAAAAAAUGCAUGCAGGUGCCAGUUUUCAGUAUUUUAUGUCAAAUCUUGUUAACAGAAAUUAGUUUCUGUAGUCUGAAGAUAGAAAAAUGCUUUUAAAAUUUUGUAAUGAAAAAAAUAUGAAAAAUGAUGAUUUUUGGUGUGGAAAACAUGUGAUUUUUAAUAUAUAAUAAUAAAAACCUUUAAAAAUGGAUGAUAUGAAGUCACUGGAGCUUAGAAUAUUGGUUUCUGUGUUCUAGAUGCUGUAAAAGUGUGCAGAUCAGUUGUCGCAGUCAUAUUUGAUGCCCUCAGACUUUGUCGUAAGAGCACGCAGUGACUAGUUUUUCAUCGAAUGACCAAUUUUGAGUUUACGUGCAAGUCUCAGAAUUAAGCGACAAGUGCGAAACAUUGCGAAGAAGAACAUGAACAGUCUAUCGAAGGAUUAUUUUGACAAAAACUUUAAUUUCUUUGAUUUCUGCUCACCUUAUGUGAGAUUUAAUUUCAUUUCCUACAUAGUCCUGAUUCAAGGAAUUUAGGGAUUUGGGCAAAUAUGUGCUAUGUUUAUGUUUAUUUUACACUGAAUUACCCAUUUGUAAUAGUUUAAGGCAAAAAACAUGCUUUAACACCAUUUACAAGAUCACACAGAUGCAUAUUUUGUGUAGAAAAGAGGUUUCAUGCAUUUAGUUGAGAAGGUCAUUAUGAGUCAAGUAUAUAUAAUAUCAUCAUGAUAUAAUCUUGGAGCUUUUCAUGGUUUUCAUCCUUAAAAACUGAUGAAUUUCAGUUUACCAGAAAAUGUUUUUAUGCAUUAUAGCCCAAAAAUCAGUUUCUUCCCACAUUUUAAGGGGAGUUCCUUAUUUACAAAAUACAAAUACUGAUAUUUAUGUUUGAAUGACCUAAGAUAUUGAAACAUUAGUCAUUGUUAAAAUGUUUAGAAGGAGAUAUUACUAUUUUUUAUAUGGUAACCUCAGCACACCUGUCCUAUUCUAAGUAAUGAAAAUCAAAAUUUGAAUGAAAUCAUAUCAUGUAACAUGUAUGGGUACAAUAUAGAUGCCCCACCCUUAUCCACAACUAUGGGGGUUUGUAUGAUUCUUUUUUUAGUAUUGUGAUAUGGCAUGCACUUAUGUGAUUUCUCUUGUAAAUAUGCAUCAGAAAUGCAUUGCCUUAUUGAAUUACUGCAUGUAUAUGCUUAUUGCUCUUGCUGUAAAUUAUCUAACAUGUGUCAAUCAUCAUUGAUCAGUAAUUCUCUUCAAAUUCUAUAGGGAUGGCCUGAUGAGGGGUAUAAUUAAGUGUGUCCAAUUGAAAUUUCAUGGCUACUUUUGCUCUACAGAUAGAAUGUUACAUAAAUCACAGAAUGAAGUUGCAUCCCAGUUGUUUCUUUUACAUUUCUUAUCAUCAAAGCAAGAUUUAUGGUUGUCAGAGCAGAUCUGAGCUCCAUUACAUGCUGAUAUCAUUUGGGCUGUCCUGUGUUACCAUGCUGCUUUUAGAUAAAAGUGAGUAUGGCAGUGUGUAGACAAGUAAACAGGCUUUACCUGAUAUAUAAAUUUACCAGAUACAGAUUUCAUUUUUGACCUGAUAAUUCACAAUAUAGUUAUGAAAUGUGUGAACAAUAGGGGUAAAUUUCUUCUUUGUUAUGCAAUGAUUGCAUAAUGAAGUGACUCUAAUGGAAUAUUUUUAUUUUGAUGUAAAGAAAAAUGUAUAUGCUCUGAUUUGGUACCAAGAUGAUUUUGUAUCUUGUUGUUUUAAGGAUGAAAAUUGGCUUCAGGUCAUGCAUGGUGUGAGGCUCCAAAUGUGUUUCAUCUGUGCUAUUUUCUUCAGUCUGAGUAAGGGAGAUAAAUCCUCAAUAGCUAAUGAAAUAUUGGGAGCUUGGGGACAGGGUUUUAGGGAUUUGGUGACAGUUGAUUGGGAAUUCUCAGGUGCAAAUUUGAAAGGGAUCUGACAUCUUUAGAGUCUCUUCAAGGUAUCACACCGGUAAUCGGCCAAUCAAAAUGAACUUAGUCAAUUGUAGUUCCAUAUAUACUUCAGAAUUAUUUUUUUCCUUGACUGCAUUUUUACAUUUUCCUUUACUCAGUUUUAAAAUUUUUUGUACCACUGAGUAGGAUAUUUCAUGUAUUUUGUUAGGUGAUGAUUUUUUUUCACAGGGACUACUUCUUUCAGGGCUCAUGCAGCAGCUUCCUGUGGAGUGUGCAGUCUGUUUACAUACAAAUGGAAAACACGUGGUUUUGAGGGUAGACCUGUUUGGAGCUAGAUAUUUUGAGAAAAUGCAGUAUCGCUUGCCCCUUUUAUGGUGUUAGCUGAUGAGAUAGGUAACAAAUAACAUUUCCUCCGAAUAUUUUGUCAUGAAAAAUACAAACUGAUUUUUAAGAAUUUUUUCCCCUCUAUAGUGUUAUAUAGUGAAAACAAUUACCGGUGUGAUACCUUGAAGGGCUGUGUGUCAAAUUGAAAAAAUGCAUGCAGGUGCCAGUUUUCAGUAUUUUAUGUCAAAUCUUGUUAACAGAAAUUAGUUUCUGUAGUCUGAAGAUAGAAAAAUGCUUUUAAAAUUUUGUAAUGAAAAAAAUAUGAAAAAUGAUGAUUUUUGGUGUGGAAAACAUGUGAUUUUUAAUAUAUAAUAAUAAAAACCUUUAAAAAUGGAUGAUAUGAAGUCACUGGAGCUUAGAAUAUUGGUUUCUGUGUUCUAGAUGCUGUAAAAGUGUGCAGAUCAGUUGUCGCAGUCAUAUUUGAUGCCCUCAGACUUUGUCGUAAGAGCACGCAGUGACUAGUUUUUCAUCGAAUGACCAAUUUUGAGUUUACGUGCAAGUCUCAGAAUUAAGCGACAAGUGCGAAACAUUGCGAAGAAGAACAUGAACAGUCUAUCGAAGGAUUAUUUUGACAAAAACUUUAAUUUCUUUGAUUUCUGCUCACCUUAUGUGAGAUUUAAUUUCAUUUCCUACAUAGUCCUGAUUCAAGGAAUUUAGGGAUUUGGGCAAAUAUGUGCUAUGUUUAUGUUUAUUUUACACUGAAUUACCCAUUUGUAAUAGUUUAAGGCAAAAAACAUGCUUUAACACCAUUUACAAGAUCACACAGAUGCAUAUUUUGUGUAGAAAAGAGGUUUCAUGCAUUUAGUUGAGAAGGUCAUUAUGAGUCAAGUAUAUAUAAUAUCAUCAUGAUAUAAUCUUGGAGCUUUUCAUGGUUUUCAUCCUUAAAAACUGAUGAAUUUCAGUUUACCAGAAAAUGUUUUUAUGCAUUAUAGCCCAAAAAUCAGUUUCUUCCCACAUUUUAAGGGGAGUUCCUUAUUUACAAAAUACAAAUACUGAUAUUUAUGUUUGAAUGACCUAAGAUAUUGAAACAUUAGUCAUUGUUAAAAUGUUUAGAAGGAGAUAUUACUAUUUUUUAUAUGGUAACCUCAGCACACCUGUCCUAUUCUAAGUAAUGAAAAUCAAAAUUUGAAUGAAAUCAUAUCAUGUAACAUGUAUGGGUACAAUAUAGAUGCCCCACCCUUAUCCACAACUAUGGGGGUUUGUAUGAUUCUUUUUUUAGUAUUGUGAUAUGGCAUGCACUUAUGUGAUUUCUCUUGUAAAUAUGCAUCAGAAAUGCAUUGCCUUAUUGAAUUACUGCAUGUAUAUGCUUAUUGCUCUUGCUGUAAAUUAUCUAACAUGUGUCAAUCAUCAUUGAUCAGUAAUUCUCUUCAAAUUCUAUAGGGAUGGCCUGAUGAGGGGUAUAAUUAAGUGUGUCCAAUUGAAAUUUCAUGGCUACUUUUGCUCUACAGAUAGAAUGUUACAUAAAUCACAGAAUGAAGUUGCAUCCCAGUUGUUUCUUUUACAUUUCUUAUCAUCAAAGCAAGAUUUAUGGUUGUCAGAGCAGAUCUGAGCUCCAUUACAUGCUGAUAUCAUUUGGGCUGUCCUGUGUUACCAUGCUGCUUUUAGAUAAAAGUGAGUAUGGCAGUGUGUAGACAAGUAAACAGGCUUUACCUGAUAUAUAAAUUUACCAGAUACAGAUUUCAUUUUUGACCUGAUAAUUCACAAUAUAGUUAUGAAAUGUGUGAACAAUAGGGGUAAAUUUCUUCUUUGUUAUGCAAUGAUUGCAUAAUGAAGUGACUCUAAUGGAAUAUUUUUAUUUUGAUGUAAAGAAAAAUGUAUAUGCUCUGAUUUGGUACCAAGAUGAUUUUGUAUCUUGUUGUUUUAAGGAUGAAAAUUGGCUUCAGGUCAUGCAUGGUGUGAGGCUCCAAAUGUGUUUCAUCUGUGCUAUUUUCUUCAGUCUGAGUAAGGGAGAUAAAUCCUCAAUAGCUAAUGAAAUAUUGGGAGCUUGGGGACAGGGUUUUAGGGAUUUGGUGACAGUUGAUUGGGAAUUCUCAGGUGCAAAUUUGAAAGGGAUCUGACAUCUUUAGAGUCUCUUCAAGGUAUCACACCGGUAAUCGGCCAAUCAAAAUGAACUUAGUCAAUUGUAGUUCCAUAUAUACUUCAGAAUUAUUUUUUUCCUUGACUGCAUUUUUACAUUUUCCUUUACUCAGUUUUAAAAUUUUUUGUACCACUGAGUAGGAUAUUUCAUGUAUUUUGUUAGGUGAUGAUUUUUUUUCACAGGGACUACUUCUUUCAGGGCUCAUGCAGCAGCUUCCUGUGGAGUGUGCAGUCUGUUUACAUACAAAUGGAAAACACGUGGUUUUGAGGGUAGACCUGUUUGGAGCUAGAUAUUUUGAGAAAAUGCAGUAUCGCUUGCCCCUUUUAUGGUGUUAGCUGAUGAGAUAGGUAACAAAUAACAUUUCCUCCGAAUAUUUUGUCAUGAAAAAUACAAACUGAUUUUUAAGAAUUUUUUCCCCUCUAUAGUGUUAUAUAGUGAAAACAAUUACCGGUGUGAUACCUUGAAGGGCUGUGUGUCAAAUUGAAAAAAUGCAUGCAGGUGCCAGUUUUCAGUAUUUUAUGUCAAAUCUUGUUAACAGAAAUUAGUUUCUGUAGUCUGAAGAUAGAAAAAUGCUUUUAAAAUUUUGUAAUGAAAAAAAUAUGAAAAAUGAUGAUUUUUGGUGUGGAAAACAUGUGAUUUUUAAUAUAUAAUAAUAAAAACCUUUAAAAAUGGAUGAUAUGAAGUCACUGGAGCUUAGAAUAUUGGUUUCUGUGUUCUAGAUGCUGUAAAAGUGUGCAGAUCAGUUGUCGCAGUCAUAUUUGAUGCCCUCAGACUUUGUCGUAAGAGCACGCAGUGACUAGUUUUUCAUCGAAUGACCAAUUUUGAGUUUACGUGCAAGUCUCAGAAUUAAGCGACAAGUGCGAAACAUUGCGAAGAAGAACAUGAACAGUCUAUCGAAGGAUUAUUUUGACAAAAACUUUAAUUUCUUUGAUUUCUGCUCACCUUAUGUGAGAUUUAAUUUCAUUUCCUACAUAGUCCUGAUUCAAGGAAUUUAGGGAUUUGGGCAAAUAUGUGCUAUGUUUAUGUUUAUUUUACACUGAAUUACCCAUUUGUAAUAGUUUAAGGCAAAAAACAUGCUUUAACACCAUUUACAAGAUCACACAGAUGCAUAUUUUGUGUAGAAAAGAGGUUUCAUGCAUUUAGUUGAGAAGGUCAUUAUGAGUCAAGUAUAUAUAAUAUCAUCAUGAUAUAAUCUUGGAGCUUUUCAUGGUUUUCAUCCUUAAAAACUGAUGAAUUUCAGUUUACCAGAAAAUGUUUUUAUGCAUUAUAGCCCAAAAAUCAGUUUCUUCCCACAUUUUAAGGGGAGUUCCUUAUUUACAAAAUACAAAUACUGAUAUUUAUGUUUGAAUGACCUAAGAUAUUGAAACAUUAGUCAUUGUUAAAAUGUUUAGAAGGAGAUAUUACUAUUUUUUAUAUGGUAACCUCAGCACACCUGUCCUAUUCUAAGUAAUGAAAAUCAAAAUUUGAAUGAAAUCAUAUCAUGUAACAUGUAUGGGUACAAUAUAGAUGCCCCACCCUUAUCCACAACUAUGGGGGUUUGUAUGAUUCUUUUUUUAGUAUUGUGAUAUGGCAUGCACUUAUGUGAUUUCUCUUGUAAAUAUGCAUCAGAAAUGCAUUGCCUUAUUGAAUUACUGCAUGUAUAUGCUUAUUGCUCUUGCUGUAAAUUAUCUAACAUGUGUCAAUCAUCAUUGAUCAGUAAUUCUCUUCAAAUUCUAUAGGGAUGGCCUGAUGAGGGGUAUAAUUAAGUGUGUCCAAUUGAAAUUUCAUGGCUACUUUUGCUCUACAGAUAGAAUGUUACAUAAAUCACAGAAUGAAGUUGCAUCCCAGUUGUUUCUUUUACAUUUCUUAUCAUCAAAGCAAGAUUUAUGGUUGUCAGAGCAGAUCUGAGCUCCAUUACAUGCUGAUAUCAUUUGGGCUGUCCUGUGUUACCAUGCUGCUUUUAGAUAAAAGUGAGUAUGGCAGUGUGUAGACAAGUAAACAGGCUUUACCUGAUAUAUAAAUUUACCAGAUACAGAUUUCAUUUUUGACCUGAUAAUUCACAAUAUAGUUAUGAAAUGUGUGAACAAUAGGGGUAAAUUUCUUCUUUGUUAUGCAAUGAUUGCAUAAUGAAGUGACUCUAAUGGAAUAUUUUUAUUUUGAUGUAAAGAAAAAUGUAUAUGCUCUGAUUUGGUACCAAGAUGAUUUUGUAUCUUGUUGUUUUAAGGAUGAAAAUUGGCUUCAGGUCAUGCAUGGUGUGAGGCUCCAAAUGUGUUUCAUCUGUGCUAUUUUCUUCAGUCUGAGUAAGGGAGAUAAAUCCUCAAUAGCUAAUGAAAUAUUGGGAGCUUGGGGACAGGGUUUUAGGGAUUUGGUGACAGUUGAUUGGGAAUUCUCAGGUGCAAAUUUGAAAGGGAUCUGACAUCUUUAGAGUCUCUUCAAGGUAUCACACCGGUAAUCGGCCAAUCAAAAUGAACUUAGUCAAUUGUAGUUCCAUAUAUACUUCAGAAUUAUUUUUUUCCUUGACUGCAUUUUUACAUUUUCCUUUACUCAGUUUUAAAAUUUUUUGUACCACUGAGUAGGAUAUUUCAUGUAUUUUGUUAGGUGAUGAUUUUUUUUCACAGGGACUACUUCUUUCAGGGCUCAUGCAGCAGCUUCCUGUGGAGUGUGCAGUCUGUUUACAUACAAAUGGAAAACACGUGGUUUUGAGGGUAGACCUGUUUGGAGCUAGAUAUUUUGAGAAAAUGCAGUAUCGCUUGCCCCUUUUAUGGUGUUAGCUGAUGAGAUAGGUAACAAAUAACAUUUCCUCCGAAUAUUUUGUCAUGAAAAAUACAAACUGAUUUUUAAGAAUUUUUUCCCCUCUAUAGUGUUAUAUAGUGAAAACAAUUACCGGUGUGAUACCUUGAAGGGCUGUGUGUCAAAUUGAAAAAAUGCAUGCAGGUGCCAGUUUUCAGUAUUUUAUGUCAAAUCUUGUUAACAGAAAUUAGUUUCUGUAGUCUGAAGAUAGAAAAAUGCUUUUAAAAUUUUGUAAUGAAAAAAAUAUGAAAAAUGAUGAUUUUUGGUGUGGAAAACAUGUGAUUUUUAAUAUAUAAUAAUAAAAACCUUUAAAAAUGGAUGAUAUGAAGUCACUGGAGCUUAGAAUAUUGGUUUCUGUGUUCUAGAUGCUGUAAAAGUGUGCAGAUCAGUUGUCGCAGUCAUAUUUGAUGCCCUCAGACUUUGUCGUAAGAGCACGCAGUGACUAGUUUUUCAUCGAAUGACCAAUUUUGAGUUUACGUGCAAGUCUCAGAAUUAAGCGACAAGUGCGAAACAUUGCGAAGAAGAACAUGAACAGUCUAUCGAAGGAUUAUUUUGACAAAAACUUUAAUUUCUUUGAUUUCUGCUCACCUUAUGUGAGAUUUAAUUUCAUUUCCUACAUAGUCCUGAUUCAAGGAAUUUAGGGAUUUGGGCAAAUAUGUGCUAUGUUUAUGUUUAUUUUACACUGAAUUACCCAUUUGUAAUAGUUUAAGGCAAAAAACAUGCUUUAACACCAUUUACAAGAUCACACAGAUGCAUAUUUUGUGUAGAAAAGAGGUUUCAUGCAUUUAGUUGAGAAGGUCAUUAUGAGUCAAGUAUAUAUAAUAUCAUCAUGAUAUAAUCUUGGAGCUUUUCAUGGUUUUCAUCCUUAAAAACUGAUGAAUUUCAGUUUACCAGAAAAUGUUUUUAUGCAUUAUAGCCCAAAAAUCAGUUUCUUCCCACAUUUUAAGGGGAGUUCCUUAUUUACAAAAUACAAAUACUGAUAUUUAUGUUUGAAUGACCUAAGAUAUUGAAACAUUAGUCAUUGUUAAAAUGUUUAGAAGGAGAUAUUACUAUUUUUUAUAUGGUAACCUCAGCACACCUGUCCUAUUCUAAGUAAUGAAAAUCAAAAUUUGAAUGAAAUCAUAUCAUGUAACAUGUAUGGGUACAAUAUAGAUGCCCCACCCUUAUCCACAACUAUGGGGGUUUGUAUGAUUCUUUUUUUAGUAUUGUGAUAUGGCAUGCACUUAUGUGAUUUCUCUUGUAAAUAUGCAUCAGAAAUGCAUUGCCUUAUUGAAUUACUGCAUGUAUAUGCUUAUUGCUCUUGCUGUAAAUUAUCUAACAUGUGUCAAUCAUCAUUGAUCAGUAAUUCUCUUCAAAUUCUAUAGGGAUGGCCUGAUGAGGGGUAUAAUUAAGUGUGUCCAAUUGAAAUUUCAUGGCUACUUUUGCUCUACAGAUAGAAUGUUACAUAAAUCACAGAAUGAAGUUGCAUCCCAGUUGUUUCUUUUACAUUUCUUAUCAUCAAAGCAAGAUUUAUGGUUGUCAGAGCAGAUCUGAGCUCCAUUACAUGCUGAUAUCAUUUGGGCUGUCCUGUGUUACCAUGCUGCUUUUAGAUAAAAGUGAGUAUGGCAGUGUGUAGACAAGUAAACAGGCUUUACCUGAUAUAUAAAUUUACCAGAUACAGAUUUCAUUUUUGACCUGAUAAUUCACAAUAUAGUUAUGAAAUGUGUGAACAAUAGGGGUAAAUUUCUUCUUUGUUAUGCAAUGAUUGCAUAAUGAAGUGACUCUAAUGGAAUAUUUUUAUUUUGAUGUAAAGAAAAAUGUAUAUGCUCUGAUUUGGUACCAAGAUGAUUUUGUAUCUUGUUGUUUUAAGGAUGAAAAUUGGCUUCAGGUCAUGCAUGGUGUGAGGCUCCAAAUGUGUUUCAUCUGUGCUAUUUUCUUCAGUCUGAGUAAGGGAGAUAAAUCCUCAAUAGCUAAUGAAAUAUUGGGAGCUUGGGGACAGGGUUUUAGGGAUUUGGUGACAGUUGAUUGGGAAUUCUCAGGUGCAAAUUUGAAAGGGAUCUGACAUCUUUAGAGUCUCUUCAAGGUAUCACACCGGUAAUCGGCCAAUCAAAAUGAACUUAGUCAAUUGUAGUUCCAUAUAUACUUCAGAAUUAUUUUUUUCCUUGACUGCAUUUUUACAUUUUCCUUUACUCAGUUUUAAAAUUUUUUGUACCACUGAGUAGGAUAUUUCAUGUAUUUUGUUAGGUGAUGAUUUUUUUUCACAGGGACUACUUCUUUCAGGGCUCAUGCAGCAGCUUCCUGUGGAGUGUGCAGUCUGUUUACAUACAAAUGGAAAACACGUGGUUUUGAGGGUAGACCUGUUUGGAGCUAGAUAUUUUGAGAAAAUGCAGUAUCGCUUGCCCCUUUUAUGGUGUUAGCUGAUGAGAUAGGUAACAAAUAACAUUUCCUCCGAAUAUUUUGUCAUGAAAAAUACAAACUGAUUUUUAAGAAUUUUUUCCCCUCUAUAGUGUUAUAUAGUGAAAACAAUUACCGGUGUGAUACCUUGAAGGGCUGUGUGUCAAAUUGAAAAAAUGCAUGCAGGUGCCAGUUUUCAGUAUUUUAUGUCAAAUCUUGUUAACAGAAAUUAGUUUCUGUAGUCUGAAGAUAGAAAAAUGCUUUUAAAAUUUUGUAAUGAAAAAAAUAUGAAAAAUGAUGAUUUUUGGUGUGGAAAACAUGUGAUUUUUAAUAUAUAAUAAUAAAAACCUUUAAAAAUGGAUGAUAUGAAGUCACUGGAGCUUAGAAUAUUGGUUUCUGUGUUCUAGAUGCUGUAAAAGUGUGCAGAUCAGUUGUCGCAGUCAUAUUUGAUGCCCUCAGACUUUGUCGUAAGAGCACGCAGUGACUAGUUUUUCAUCGAAUGACCAAUUUUGAGUUUACGUGCAAGUCUCAGAAUUAAGCGACAAGUGCGAAACAUUGCGAAGAAGAACAUGAACAGUCUAUCGAAGGAUUAUUUUGACAAAAACUUUAAUUUCUUUGAUUUCUGCUCACCUUAUGUGAGAUUUAAUUUCAUUUCCUACAUAGUCCUGAUUCAAGGAAUUUAGGGAUUUGGGCAAAUAUGUGCUAUGUUUAUGUUUAUUUUACACUGAAUUACCCAUUUGUAAUAGUUUAAGGCAAAAAACAUGCUUUAACACCAUUUACAAGAUCACACAGAUGCAUAUUUUGUGUAGAAAAGAGGUUUCAUGCAUUUAGUUGAGAAGGUCAUUAUGAGUCAAGUAUAUAUAAUAUCAUCAUGAUAUAAUCUUGGAGCUUUUCAUGGUUUUCAUCCUUAAAAACUGAUGAAUUUCAGUUUACCAGAAAAUGUUUUUAUGCAUUAUAGCCCAAAAAUCAGUUUCUUCCCACAUUUUAAGGGGAGUUCCUUAUUUACAAAAUACAAAUACUGAUAUUUAUGUUUGAAUGACCUAAGAUAUUGAAACAUUAGUCAUUGUUAAAAUGUUUAGAAGGAGAUAUUACUAUUUUUUAUAUGGUAACCUCAGCACACCUGUCCUAUUCUAAGUAAUGAAAAUCAAAAUUUGAAUGAAAUCAUAUCAUGUAACAUGUAUGGGUACAAUAUAGAUGCCCCACCCUUAUCCACAACUAUGGGGGUUUGUAUGAUUCUUUUUUUAGUAUUGUGAUAUGGCAUGCACUUAUGUGAUUUCUCUUGUAAAUAUGCAUCAGAAAUGCAUUGCCUUAUUGAAUUACUGCAUGUAUAUGCUUAUUGCUCUUGCUGUAAAUUAUCUAACAUGUGUCAAUCAUCAUUGAUCAGUAAUUCUCUUCAAAUUCUAUAGGGAUGGCCUGAUGAGGGGUAUAAUUAAGUGUGUCCAAUUGAAAUUUCAUGGCUACUUUUGCUCUACAGAUAGAAUGUUACAUAAAUCACAGAAUGAAGUUGCAUCCCAGUUGUUUCUUUUACAUUUCUUAUCAUCAAAGCAAGAUUUAUGGUUGUCAGAGCAGAUCUGAGCUCCAUUACAUGCUGAUAUCAUUUGGGCUGUCCUGUGUUACCAUGCUGCUUUUAGAUAAAAGUGAGUAUGGCAGUGUGUAGACAAGUAAACAGGCUUUACCUGAUAUAUAAAUUUACCAGAUACAGAUUUCAUUUUUGACCUGAUAAUUCACAAUAUAGUUAUGAAAUGUGUGAACAAUAGGGGUAAAUUUCUUCUUUGUUAUGCAAUGAUUGCAUAAUGAAGUGACUCUAAUGGAAUAUUUUUAUUUUGAUGUAAAGAAAAAUGUAUAUGCUCUGAUUUGGUACCAAGAUGAUUUUGUAUCUUGUUGUUUUAAGGAUGAAAAUUGGCUUCAGGUCAUGCAUGGUGUGAGGCUCCAAAUGUGUUUCAUCUGUGCUAUUUUCUUCAGUCUGAGUAAGGGAGAUAAAUCCUCAAUAGCUAAUGAAAUAUUGGGAGCUUGGGGACAGGGUUUUAGGGAUUUGGUGACAGUUGAUUGGGAAUUCUCAGGUGCAAAUUUGAAAGGGAUCUGACAUCUUUAGAGUCUCUUCAAGGUAUCACACCGGUAAUCGGCCAAUCAAAAUGAACUUAGUCAAUUGUAGUUCCAUAUAUACUUCAGAAUUAUUUUUUUCCUUGACUGCAUUUUUACAUUUUCCUUUACUCAGUUUUAAAAUUUUUUGUACCACUGAGUAGGAUAUUUCAUGUAUUUUGUUAGGUGAUGAUUUUUUUUCACAGGGACUACUUCUUUCAGGGCUCAUGCAGCAGCUUCCUGUGGAGUGUGCAGUCUGUUUACAUACAAAUGGAAAACACGUGGUUUUGAGGGUAGACCUGUUUGGAGCUAGAUAUUUUGAGAAAAUGCAGUAUCGCUUGCCCCUUUUAUGGUGUUAGCUGAUGAGAUAGGGCUCAUGCAGCAGCUUCCUGUGGAGUGUGCAGUCUGUUUACAUACAAAUGGAAAACACGUGGUUUUGAGGGUAGACCUGUUUGGAGCUAGAUAUUUUGAGAAAAUGCAGUAUCGCUUGCCCCUUUUAUGGUGUUAGCUGAUGAGAUAGGUAACAAAUAACAUUUCCUCCGAAUAUUUUGUCAUGAAAAAUACAAACUGAUUUUUAAGAAUUUUUUCCCCUCUAUAGUGUUAUAUAGUGAAAACAAUUACCGGUGUGAUACCUUGAAGGGCUGUGUGUCAAAUUGAAAAAAUGCAUGCAGGUGCCAGUUUUCAGUAUUUUAUGUCAAAUCUUGUUAACAGAAAUUAGUUUCUGUAGUCUGAAGAUAGAAAAAUGCUUUUAAAAUUUUGUAAUGAAAAAAAUAUGAAAAAUGAUGAUUUUUGGUGUGGAAAACAUGUGAUUUUUAAUAUAUAAUAAUAAAAACCUUUAAAAAUGGAUGAUAUGAAGUCACUGGAGCUUAGAAUAUUGGUUUCUGUGUUCUAGAUGCUGUAAAAGUGUGCAGAUCAGUUGUCGCAGUCAUAUUUGAUGCCCUCAGACUUUGUCGUAAGAGCACGCAGUGACUAGUUUUUCAUCGAAUGACCAAUUUUGAGUUUACGUGCAAGUCUCAGAAUUAAGCGACAAGUGCGAAACAUUGCGAAGAAGAACAUGAACAGUCUAUCGAAGGAUUAUUUUGACAAAAACUUUAAUUUCUUUGAUUUCUGCUCACCUUAUGUGAGAUUUAAUUUCAUUUCCUACAUAGUCCUGAUUCAAGGAAUUUAGGGAUUUGGGCAAAUAUGUGCUAUGUUUAUGUUUAUUUUACACUGAAUUACCCAUUUGUAAUAGUUUAAGGCAAAAAACAUGCUUUAACACCAUUUACAAGAUCACACAGAUGCAUAUUUUGUGUAGAAAAGAGGUUUCAUGCAUUUAGUUGAGAAGGUCAUUAUGAGUCAAGUAUAUAUAAUAUCAUCAUGAUAUAAUCUUGGAGCUUUUCAUGGUUUUCAUCCUUAAAAACUGAUGAAUUUCAGUUUACCAGAAAAUGUUUUUAUGCAUUAUAGCCCAAAAAUCAGUUUCUUCCCACAUUUUAAGGGGAGUUCCUUAUUUACAAAAUACAAAUACUGAUAUUUAUGUUUGAAUGACCUAAGAUAUUGAAACAUUAGUCAUUGUUAAAAUGUUUAGAAGGAGAUAUUACUAUUUUUUAUAUGGUAACCUCAGCACACCUGUCCUAUUCUAAGUAAUGAAAAUCAAAAUUUGAAUGAAAUCAUAUCAUGUAACAUGUAUGGGUACAAUAUAGAUGCCCCACCCUUAUCCACAACUAUGGGGGUUUGUAUGAUUCUUUUUUUAGUAUUGUGAUAUGGCAUGCACUUAUGUGAUUUCUCUUGUAAAUAUGCAUCAGAAAUGCAUUGCCUUAUUGAAUUACUGCAUGUAUAUGCUUAUUGCUCUUGCUGUAAAUUAUCUAACAUGUGUCAAUCAUCAUUGAUCAGUAAUUCUCUUCAAAUUCUAUAGGGAUGGCCUGAUGAGGGGUAUAAUUAAGUGUGUCCAAUUGAAAUUUCAUGGCUACUUUUGCUCUACAGAUAGAAUGUUACAUAAAUCACAGAAUGAAGUUGCA